CCUCAAUAUCAUCGUCGUUUUUCUUCCAAAUUCUGCUUCUGAAUCAUGUCGGCGUCUCCUAACGACGCAGUCUCAGUUGGUGAAGACUACGGUGCGGUGGAUAAUUGCCGGAAAGCAUCUAUCUACUUAUACUUCUUUUCUUCUUUUUCUACAUUUAUCCGAGCUAUGUGUAUAUGUUUGUGCGAUUAUAUCUGCUU
Non-coding RNA from Caenorhabditis elegans, 197 nucleotides. Lineage: Eukaryota; Metazoa; Nematoda; Chromadorea; Rhabditida; Rhabditidae. The record is from Ensembl.